This 618-nucleotide ribosomal RNA is filed under the name Triticum aestivum (bread wheat). Its description in RNAcentral is "partial small subunit ribosomal RNA". The record is from RNAcentral. Lineage: Eukaryota; Viridiplantae; Streptophyta; Magnoliopsida; Poales; Poaceae.
AUGGUGGGAAUCGCCACCGUGGCUGCGGCGGUCAGCGAGGCAACAGAGCCGGGGGUGGCGGGAACCAGCCCUGCUAUCCCAAUCAGCAGCCUACGCCACCAUGAAACGGUGGCUACAACCCCUGGACGGGGGUCGUGCAUGCGUACAACAUGCCAGUUCUGCGACCCCCCGCCCCAGGUCUUCUCGGCUCGCGCCCGCCGACUCACUGGGCGCUGCUGGCCGCCCCGCAGCCGGGCCCUGCCGCCUCGCCCUUCAGCUUCCGCGGCCCACCUAUUGCCACCGCGCCCUUCGGCCAUGGCGGCCCGCCCGUCGCUCCACCUCCCACGCCUCCUACGUACGGGGCUUACGGGGCCUUUGGUGGCGCGCUGGCCUACUCAGGCGCGUGGGAUCCGGCGUUGCUUGCUGCCCUCCAGCAAACCCCCUCCCCGGCGACGUACUCUGAUGGCGGUGAUUGGUUCAUGGACUCCAGCGGAACAGCCCACAUGUCUGCACACCCGGGACACUCGCACCAUGAUGGUACUUCACCGAUGUGAUAGUCCCGGCGAUUUAUACCCUGUUCAGUCGCCGCCUUCUACUCCAGGUGGUCCUCGAGCUCUUUCUGCCGGCAUUGAUCUUUAG